This 100-nucleotide Y RNA is filed under the name Prolemur simus (greater bamboo lemur). RNAcentral describes it as "Y RNA (ENSPSMG00000009599.1)". It matches the Rfam family "Y RNA". Rfam says of the family: Y RNAs are components of the Ro ribonucleoprotein particle (Ro RNP), in association with Ro60 and La proteins. The Y RNAs and Ro60 and La proteins are well conserved, but the function of the Ro RNP is not known. The record is from Rfam by way of RNAcentral. Lineage: Eukaryota; Metazoa; Chordata; Mammalia; Primates; Lemuridae.
GGCUGGUCCAGAGUGCAGUGGUGUUUACAACUAAUUCACAACCGGUUACAGAUUCCUUUGUUCCUUCUCCACUCCCACUGCUCCACUUGACUAGCCUUUA